CAGUCGCCGCGGUAAUACGUAGGUGGCAAGCGUUGUCCGGAAUUAUUGGGCGUAAAGGGCUCGCAGGCGGUUUCUUAAGUCUGAUGUGAAAGCCCCCGGCUCAACCGGGGAGGGUCAUUGGAAACCGGGAAACUUGAGUGCAGAAGAGGAGAGUGGAAUUCCACGUGUAGCGGUGAAAUGCGUAGAGAUGUGGAGGUACACCAGUGGCGAAGGCGACUCUCUGGUCUGUAACUGACGCUGAGGAGCGAAAGCGUGGGGAGCGAACAGGAUUAGAUACCCCUGUAGUCCCUGUCUCUUAUAC
Molecule: ribosomal RNA, 301 nt
Filed under: uncultured bacterium
Lineage: Bacteria
Description: partial 16S ribosomal RNA
Rfam family: Bacterial small subunit ribosomal RNA
Source: RNAcentral